AAAAAUUUAGUUAAAUUAAUAACGUUAGCUUGUCAAGCUAAAAUUAUUCUUUAAAGAAUAAUUUUUA
This 67-nucleotide transfer RNA is filed under the name Jamesia sp. KM-2017. RNAcentral's name for it is "tRNA-Asp". It matches the Rfam family "tRNA". From Rfam's summary of the family: Transfer RNA (tRNA) molecules are approximately 80 nucleotides in length. Their secondary structure includes four short double-helical elements and three loops (D, anti-codon, and T loops). Lineage: Eukaryota; Metazoa; Arthropoda; Insecta; Coleoptera; Cerambycidae. The record is from RNAcentral.